UGCUGGAGGUAUCAGAAGUGCGAAUGCUGACAUAAGUAACGAUAAAGCGGGUGAAAAGCCCGCUCGCCGGAAGACCAAGGGUUCCUGUCCAACGUUAAUCGGGGCAGGGUGAGUCGACCCCUAAGGCGAGGCCGAAAGGCGUAGUCGAUGGGAAACGGGUUAAUAUUCCCGUACUUGGUGUUACUGCGAAGGGGGGACGGAGAAGGCUAUGUUGGCCGGGCGACGGUUGUCCCGGUUUAAGCGUGUAGGUGUGUGUUCCAGGUAAAUCCGGUUCACUUUAACACUGAGGCGUGACGACGAGGCACUACGGUGCUGAAGCAACAAAUGCCCUGCUUCCAGGAAAAGCCUCUAAGCAUCAGGUAACAUCAAAUCGUACCCCAAACCGACACAGGUGGUCAGGUAGAGAAUACCAAGGCGCUUGAGAGAACUCGGGUGAAGGAACUAGGCAAAAUGGUGCCGUAACUUCGGGAGAAGGCACGCUGACAUGUAGGUGAAGUGAUUUACUCAUGGAGCUGAAGUCAGUCGAAGAUACCAGCUGGCUGCAACUGUUUAUUAAAAACACAGCACUGUGCAAACACGAAAGUGGACGUAUACGGUGUGACGCCUGCCCGGUGCCGGAAGGUUAAUUGAUGGGGUCAGCGCAAGCGAAGCUCCUGAUCGAAGCCCCGGUAAACGGCGGCCGUAACUAUAACGGUCCUAAGGUAGCGAAAUUCCUUGUCGGGUAAGUUCCGACCUGCACGAAUGGCGUAAUGAUGGCCAGGCUGUCUCCACCCGAGACUCAGUGAAAUUGAACUCGCUGUGAAGAUGCAGUGUACCCGCGGCAAGACGGAAAGACCCCGUGAACCUUUACUAUAGCUUGACACUGAACAUUGAGCCUUGAUGUGUAGGAUAGGUGGGAGGCUUUGAAGUGUGGACGCCAGUCUGCAUGGAGCCGACCUUGAAAUACCACCCUUUAAUGUUUGAUGUUCUAACGUGGACCCGUUAUCCGGGUUGCGGACAGUGUCUGGUGGGUAGUUUGACUGGGGCGGUCUCCUCCUAAAGAGUAACGGAGGAGCACGAAGGUUGGCUAAUCCUGGUCGGACAUCAGGAGGUUAGUGCAAUGGCAUAAGCCAGCUUGACUGCGAGCGUGACGGCGCGAGCAGGUGCGAAAGCAGGUCAUAGUGAUCCGGUGGUUCUGAAUGGAAGGGCCAUCGCUCAACGGAUAAAAGGUACUCCGGGGAUAACAGGCUGAUACCGCCCAAGAGUUCAUAUCGACGGCGGUGUUUGGCACCUCGAUGUCGGCUCAUCACAUCCUGGGGCUGAAGUAGGUCCCAAGGGUAUGGCUGUUCGCCAUUUAAAGUGGUACGCGAGCUGGGUUUAGAACGUCGUGAGACAGUUCGGUCCCUAUCUGCCGUGGGCGCUGGAGAACUGAGGGGGGCUGCUCCUAGUACGAGAGGACCGGAGUGGACGCAUCACUGGUGUUCGGGUUGUCAUGCCAAUGGCACUGCCCGGUAGCUAAAUGCGGAAGAGAUAAGUGCUGAAAGCAUCUAAGCACGAAACUUGCCCCGAGAUGAGUUCUCCCUGAGACUUAGAGUCUCCUGAAGGAACGUUGAAGACGACGACGUUGAUAGGCCGGGUGUGUAAGCGCAGCGAUGCGUUGAGCUAACCGGUACUAAUGAACCGUGAGGCUUAACCUUACAACGCCGAAG
RNAcentral lists this ribosomal RNA (1688 nucleotides) under Salmonella enterica subsp. enterica serovar Saintpaul. Its description in RNAcentral is "bacterial LSU rRNA". It matches the Rfam family "Bacterial large subunit ribosomal RNA", at positions 1271 to 2925 of the family's 2925-position model. Lineage: Bacteria; Pseudomonadati; Pseudomonadota; Gammaproteobacteria; Enterobacterales; Enterobacteriaceae. RNAcentral also lists the same sequence under 1 other name. The record is from RNAcentral.